UUACAAGUAUGGCUGUUGAAAAUGGGUCCAGUAUGGAGAACUUUUCUGUAUUGACUAGUCUUAGACUUACUGUCAUUUAGACUUGGACUUUUCUCAGUCUGAGAUAAAUAUGGUCUUGAACUUGACUGAGAGUUUGUAUGGAUGGAUCGUUGGAUGGAUGGAUGGGCUCUGGAAUGGAUUUUGACUCUUCCUCACUUUUAUUUGGACUCGAACUUGACUUGGCCUGACAUGGUCUUAACUAAAUCCCGGACUUGGCAAUGGCGGUCUGAUUAAAGGGCUGCCCAGACGGAGACCCAGGACCUGCUGGAGAGUCUAAAUUUCACAGUUGGUUUGGAAAUGUUUAGGGAUGCCCCACGAGGAACUAGAAUCUGUAGCUGUUCUAGAAAAGUCUGGUCUGACCUUCUCAACCUGUUCCCCUGCAACCCCUACCAGGAAAAAUGAUAAGCCAUCUUUCCUGGAGCAUACCAGGAGAGAUGGUGGAAACGUCUGAAGAGAUGGUGGAAACAUCUGGAGAGAUGGUGGAAACGUCUGGAGAGAUGGUGUAAACGUCUGGAGAGAUUGUGGAAACAUCUGAAGAGAUGGUGGAAACGUCUGGAGAGAUGGUGUAAACGUCUGGAGAGAUGGUGGAAACGUCUGGAGAGAUGGUGGGAACAUCUGGAGAGAUGGUGGAAACAUCUGAAGAGAUGGUGGAAACAUCUGGAGAGAUGGUGGAAACAUCUGAAGAGAUGGUGGAAACAUCUGGAGCGAUGUGGAAACAUCUGGAACGAUGUGGAAACAUCUGGAGCGAUGGUGGAAACAUCUGGCCAUGCUGAAUACACAAGUUUUUCUACAGUCUCUCUGUUUCACCAUGGAUGAAAAAAGAUUUUCUGUAAAAUAAUGUGUUUGGAACCAUUUGUACUGAAACUGGUAUUAAAUGUAUCGUAUCAAUUGUAUUAAAUGUAUUAUAUCAAAUGUAACUAUAUUGGUGUUGACCGGUUAUACGGAUGAAGCCUAAGGCUGGGGUUAUACCUGACACAUACAACAUCGGAGCAGAAAUAACCCCUUUUGUCAGGCUUCCCUACACUUAACUCAGUGUAAAGUCUCCUUCACAAUCAUCUAUGUACAUAUCUUUCAGAUAAAUAAAUAAAAUAAUGAAAACACAUUAUUGACCGUCCUAGACAACUAUAACUAAGCUUUACCUUGAAAUAUAAUUUUUUUUUAAAAACUUCAAAAAUCAGAUUAUAUUUGCAAUAAUGUGUCAGUCCAUUUAACGAAUCAUCCAUUUCCAUUCGCCAUCCAUUCAGGGUUAUGAAAAAUGUACCUGAGUCCCUAUGAAAUAUUUGGAAUAUUCCACAAGUCACAUGUUCAACAAGAAAUUGUGUCACCCGAACUGAAAUGAAGAUCACGGGAAGAAGAACUGUUCCCUCAUUCUUUUUGUUUUCAUUUUCAGUGAUAUUGUGAUAUUUUUUUUGGGGGGGGC
Long non-coding RNA from Ictalurus punctatus (channel catfish), 1459 nucleotides. The record is from Ensembl. Lineage: Eukaryota; Metazoa; Chordata; Actinopteri; Siluriformes; Ictaluridae.